RNAcentral lists this ribosomal RNA (481 nucleotides) under uncultured bacterium. RNAcentral's name for it is "partial 16S ribosomal RNA". It matches the Rfam family "Bacterial small subunit ribosomal RNA", at positions 28 to 507 of the family's 1533-position model. The record is from RNAcentral.
GAUGAACGCUGGCGGCGUGCUUAACACAUGCAAGUCGGACGAAGCAUUUGCGACAGAUUUUUUCGGAAUGAAGUUGCUUAUGACUGAGUGGCGGACGGGUGAGUAACGCGUGGGUAACCUGCCUUGUACUGGGGGAUAGCAGCUGGAAACGGCUGGUAAUACCGCAUAAGCGCACAAUGUUGCAUGACAUGGUGUGAAAAACUCCGGUGGUAUAAGAUGGACCCGCGUCUGAUUAGCUAGUUGGUGAGAUAACAGCCCACCAAGGCGACGAUCAGUAGCCGACCUGAGAGGGUGACCGGCCACAUUGGGACUGAGACACGGCCCAGACUCCUACGGGAGGCAGCAGUGGGGAAUAUUGCACAAUGGAGGAAACUCUGAUGCAGCGACGCCGCGUGAGUGAAGAAGUAAUUCGUUAUGUAAAGCUCUAUCAGCAGGGAAGAUAGUGACGGUACCUGACUAAGAAGCUCCGGCUAAAUACGUG